This 441-nucleotide ribosomal RNA is filed under the name Sarika sp. 1 AP-2020. RNAcentral's name for it is "partial large subunit ribosomal RNA". It matches the Rfam family "Archaeal large subunit ribosomal RNA", at positions 1908 to 2665 of the family's 2987-position model. The record is from RNAcentral. Lineage: Eukaryota; Metazoa; Mollusca; Gastropoda; Stylommatophora; Ariophantidae.
AGCUUUAUGUAUAAUAUAUAAAGUAAAACCUGCCCACUGAAUUAUAAUUAUUUAAAUGGCCGCAGUACCUUGACUGUGCUAAGGUAGCAUAAUAAAUUGACUUUUAAUUGAGGUCUUGAAUGAAAGGAACCAUGAAUAAUUACUGUCUUAUUUUAACUAUUAGUAAUUUACUAAUUAGGUGAAAAUUCCUUUAUAUAAUUUAAAUAGACGAGAAGACCCUAGGAGUUUUAUAUAAAUUUUGUUGGGGCGACAUUAUAGCAAGCAGUGUAUAUUGAUUAACCUAUAAUUUUAAAUUAAUAAUAUAACGAGAAGUUUUAAUUAAAAAUAAACUACCCUAGGGAUAACAGCAUAAUUUAAUUUAAGUUUGUGACCUCGAUGUUGGACUAGGGGCUUUUAAAGCUAAUAGCGUUAAAUGAUAGUUCUGUUCGAACUUUAUACCCU